UACGGAGGGAGCGAGCGUUGUUCGGAAUUACUGGGCGUAAAGCGUAUGUAGGCGGCUUCGUAAGACAGGUGUGAAAUCCCAGAGCUUAACUUUGGAACUGCAUUUGUGACUGCGAGGCUUGAGUAUCGGAGAGGUUGGCGGAAUUCCUAGUGUAGAGGUGAAAUUCGCAGAUAUUAGGAGGAACACCGAUGGCGUAAGCAGCCAACUGGACGAUUACUGACGCUGAGAUACGAAAGUAUGGGGAGCAAACAGG
Molecule: ribosomal RNA, 253 nt
Filed under: uncultured bacterium
Lineage: Bacteria
Description: partial 16S ribosomal RNA
Rfam family: Bacterial small subunit ribosomal RNA
Source: RNAcentral